AGCAGCCGCGGUAAUUCCAGCUCCAAUAGCGUAUAUUAAAGUUGCUGCAGUUAAAAAGCUCGUAGUUGAAUUUCGGGACUAAUAUGUUGGUCGUGCCUCGGUACGUACUGGCAUUGUUGGUUUCUCCCUUCUGAAGAACCAUGAUGUCAUUAAUUUGGUGUCUUGGGGAAUCAGGACUGUUACUUUGAAAAAUUAGAGUGUUUAAAGCAGGCUCACGCUUGAAUACAUUAGCAUGGAAUAAUGAAAUAGGACGUUUGAUUCUAUUUUGUUGGUUUCUAGGAUCGACGUAAUGAUUAAUAGGGAUAGUUGGGGGCAUUAGUAUUCAAUUGUCAGAGGUGAAAUUCUUGGAUUUAUUGGAGACUAACUACUGCGAAAGCAUUUGCCAAGGAUGUUUUCAUUAAUCAAGAACGAAAGUUAGGGGAUCGAAGACGAUCAGAUACCGUCGUAGUCUUAACCAUAAACUAUGCCGACUAGGGAUCGGAUGAUGUUAUUUUGAUGACUC
Molecule: ribosomal RNA, 502 nt
Filed under: uncultured Glomus
Lineage: Eukaryota; Fungi; Glomeromycota; Glomeromycetes; Glomerales; Glomeraceae
Description: SSU rRNA
Rfam family: Eukaryotic small subunit ribosomal RNA
Source: RNAcentral